This 522-nucleotide ribosomal RNA is filed under the name marine sediment bacterium ISA-3129. RNAcentral's name for it is "bacterial SSU rRNA". It matches the Rfam family "Bacterial small subunit ribosomal RNA", at positions 8 to 526 of the family's 1533-position model. The record is from RNAcentral.
AGAGUUUGAUUCCCUGCUCAGAUUGAACGCUGGCGGCAGGCCUAACACAUGCAAGUCGAGCGGUAACAUUUCUAGCUUGCUAGAAGAUGACGAGCGGCGGACGGGUGAGUAAUGCUUGGGAACAUGCCUUGAGGUGGGGGACAACCAUUGGAAACGAUGGCUAAUACCGCAUAAUGUCUACGGACCAAAGGGGGCUUCGGCUCUCGCCUUUAGAUUGGCCCAAGUGGGAUUAGCUAGUUGGUGAGGUAAAGGCUCACCAAGGCGACGAUCCCUAGCUGGUUUGAGAGGAUGAUCAGCCACACUGGAACUGAGACACGGUCCAGACUCCUACGGGAGGCAGCAGUGGGGAAUAUUGCACAAUGGGCGCAAGCCUGAUGCAGCCAUGCCGCGUGUGUGAAGAAGGCCUUCGGGUUGUAAAGCACUUUCAGUCAGGAGGAAAGGUUAGUAGUUAAUACCUGCUAGCUGUGACGUUACUGACAGAAGAAGCACCGGCUAACUCCGUGCCAGCAGCCGCGGUAAUAC